UAUGUUAUAGUUUAUGAUGAACAUUAGAUUUUGAAUCUAAAAGACAGUUUAAUCCUGUUAACAUAA
RNAcentral lists this transfer RNA (66 nucleotides) under Mogannia minuta. Its description in RNAcentral is "tRNA-Gln". It matches the Rfam family "tRNA". Rfam says of the family: Transfer RNA (tRNA) molecules are approximately 80 nucleotides in length. Their secondary structure includes four short double-helical elements and three loops (D, anti-codon, and T loops). The record is from RNAcentral. Lineage: Eukaryota; Metazoa; Arthropoda; Insecta; Hemiptera; Cicadidae.